GUAAUGGGACGAACACGAGGAGGAAGGGACACAAUAUCCGAUGUGCUGAUGUGCUCAACAGUAGCAAUAUCCUCUACCAUGGCAAGGCGCUAUUUGGUAUGAAUAACAUCAAGAUAAGAAGUCUGCUCAAGAAAGUGGCGCCAACGUUUCAUAGCCUAAGGCGGUCCACAGGCAAAAGUGGACGAGGUCGCAAGCCAUAAGAAGACCGAGACGGAGAAGAUGGCACAUCAGUAGAUGCAUCCACAACACAUGAACGACGUGUAUAAAAGUGAGGCAAAUGUGGAAGAAUACGAGCAAUAAUCCCCGAGAUAAGCUCAGGUUAGCGAGACAAGGAAGUCACCGAUGAUGAAGGUUUAGAAUCCCGUGAUAAGCGAAGUGAGGAAAUCACAGGAGAUGAUGGUGCUGAAUCUGUAAUAAUUGGAGAAGCAGGAGCAGUACGAGGAAUGGAAUAGGGCUCAACUAUAGUGAUAAGAAUGUCGGGAAAAGUGAGGUAACACAUCCUCCACUAAAAAGGUCGGGGAUGAUGGUCAUACGUAGCAGGGACGAGACUCACUAAAAGUCAUACCGUGAGAAAUAGUCACCCGAUGACCAACCUGAUCCCAACAACAAUAUCUCUUAUGCUCAUUGUUGUAUCCUAGGAACACUCAACAUACUAAGUAGUAAGUUUGGUACAUUGACGAGAGGCAGUAAGGGCACAUCAAACACAACCAAACAAUUGAAGCGCUGAAUAAUCUGGAAACGAUCAAAUAGACUCGGAAGGAGAUGACCAUGGUGGAAGUGGAGACGCAUUCAACCCAAAAGUGUGGCGUAAGAGAGGCAGUGACCAUCCAAAAGUGUGGCGGAAGAGAGAGCAGUGACAUUGAACCUAUGAGCCGUCUCAAUAGUUGACGAUGCUUGCCCUCAGCUAUGCCAUUUCUGAGCAUGAGCACCAGGAUAAGAGAACUGAGCAAGAGCACCCUGCUCAACAAGGAUUGAGCGCAACAUCUUGGAGAUUUAUUCUCCACCGAGUCAUCACAGUAUACAAGAAUAGGCGUAGAGAGAUACUAUGUUGGCAAACGGAAGCCACAUCGAAAAGUGUGGCAAAAGUGGUCAGCUGGGCCAUACAGGAGCAAAUGUCUCAUCGUAGUCAUGACUAUAUGUUCUCACCACUAGAUGAGCUUUGUAAAGCUCUAGAGAAACAUCAUAGCCUCACCCUUUGAUGUCAUCACAUGCUGCCAUUAUGGAUGAGAAAACGUCAUGAUAAGAAGUCGUCUUGCGAAGAGCACCACAAUAACUAACCAUAGCAGUCAAAAGGCAGUAGCAGGCGAGCUCGAAAGCCAUAGUUAGGCUGAUCUGGAGCUAUGUGUUGCCAACAGAAGAAUACAUAGUAAUCGAGGGAGUUGACUCAUUAGAAGAAUCCACAACACGCGAACAGUGAGUGUAGUAAAGUCAAGGAAGACGAGCAAAAGAAGGAACAUGAAAAGAGAAACUGCCAAGAGUGCCUCGACUAUCGACAGGUAGGGAAGUUACCAGGAUAGGAGAACUGAGCAAGAGCACCGUGCUCAACAAGGAUUGAAUGCAACAUCUUGGAGAUUUAUUCUCCACCGGAGUCAUCACGGAAUACAAGAAUAGGCGUAGGGAACUUGGUGUGUGCCAUGGCAUCAAAACGCUUACACAUAUAAGACCUCACUACGAAAGGAAAUAAAGUAUAUCCAGGUGUGUUGAGAGAAGUCAUCUAUAAAUAUAGUACUAGCGAUAACCUCCUUUCGAGGCGAAAGGAGGUGGGUCCCAGACAUCAAAGUGAACAAAGGUUGAAAGGGUUGUUGAGACACUGUCUCGCUAUGAGCAUAAGGUAAGUAUAGCUGUUUAACAAGCCGACAACCCGGACAGUUUGGAGACAUCAUCGGAGACUGAUCCAAGAAGACCAUGUCAAACUAAGGAUGCGAGAUGAGAGCCACACAAGUGACCCCAGGCGACGAUGGCACUUCUAAGCAUAACUGCUAGACAAGGUAACAGAGGUGGAGAGACUAGCGGCUGUAGCAGCAGAGUCACUUGAUCCAGCAUCCUACGUGCCUGUGCGCUCUCCGUUACCCGCCGAUCCGGCUUGGUGUGCUUCUCCUGUUUGCGGGUUGUGUGCCACGCACUUGAUUAAGCACCCCACGUUCUCCUACAGUGCGCCCUUGACCCUGGCUUUAGGUAGCGCCGUGUCCUCGGCUUGCCGUGCAUAAUCCAGGUAUGCGCCAACUGUCCGAGCUCCUGCUCACCAUCGGUGUUGCUCGAGCGUGGGUUCUGGUGUCGCCCAUAAAGGGAACACGGGAUGUGGGAUUGAGACAGUUCACAUAGCAACCCACAGCAAGGCAAAGGAUGCCCAUCCAACUGGCAGGGAGCGGAGGUGGACCCAAAAAGGUGGAUGUUGACUCCAAGGAGUCUCAACAGUACGCUUGUCAGUAAGAGGAGCAAGAAGAUCCUGGAUAUACUUCUCUUAGCAAAUAAAGAAGCCAUCAAAGGUAGACUCAGGGAAGUAGCGAUGAGGACCAAGGUCAGACAUAAGAAACUCACUGUGACGAGCAUUCACAAAGGCAAUGUACUUAAGAGUCGUGCAGGAUCAUGAGCACGCGUUGAAAAACGAGCCUUAUUAACCACAGAGACAACGCUCAAACCAGUCAUGAGGGGUUUGCUAAAGAGCAUAUAGAGAACGCCAAAGGCGACAAACCAUGCCGGCUGGAAAAGAAUACCCAAGUGGUGGCUACAUGUAGGAUUGUUGACAUCAAGCUGAGAGAGAGAGAGAGAGAUAGAUAGAUAGAGAGAGAGAGAGCCUAUGUUGGCAAACAGAAGCACAUCGAAAAGUGUUCCAAAAGUGGUCAUCUGGGCCAUACAGGAGCAAAUGUCUCAUCGUAGUCAUGACUAUGUUCUCACCACUAGACGUGGUUUGUAGAGCUCUAGAGUAACAUCAUAGUCUCACCCUUGUGGGCCUAGUUACAAGUAAUGAGACGAGCAAGAGGAGGAAGGGAAAUGAGAUUCCACCAGCCGGCGAGGUGAAGAGCAUUUGAUGCCAUCACAUGCUGCCAUUGUGGAUGAAAAAAAUGUCAUGAUAAGAAGUCUUCUUGUGAAGAGCACCGCAAUAACUAACCAUAGCAGUCAAUAGGCAGAAGCCGGCGAGCUCGAAAGCCAUAAGUAGGCUGAUCUGGAGCUAUGUGUUGCCAACAGAAGAAGACAUAGUAGUUGAGGGAGAUGACUCAUUAUAAGAAUCCACAACACGCGAACAAUGAGUGUAGUAAAGUCAAGGAAGAUGAGCCUAAGAAGGAACAUGCAAGACAAACUGCCAAGAGUACCUCGACUAUCGACUGGCAGGGAAGUUACAUUGACAGUAAAAACAUGAACAUGAGAAUCUAGAUGUGGAAUACGCAAGUGGUGGCUGCACGUAAAACCCCUGACAAAAUUCACCAUUAAAAAAGUCUUUGUUAACAUCAAGCCGAGACGGAGUGACGAAUAAAGGCCGCAACAAGAUGUGUGUGAACAAUUGUCGUAUGGCCCGCAUGAGCUGAAACUCUCAUCGUAAUUAGGACCAUGAUUCUACUAAAAGCCACGAGCCACAAGACGAGCUUUGUAAUGUUCAAGAGAACCAUCAGAGCGAGUCUUAACCUUGUUGACGCACCAAGUAAUGGGACGAACACGAGGAGGAAGGGACACAAUAUCCGAUGUGCUGAUGUGCUCAACAGUAGCAAUAUCCUCUACCAUGGCAAGGCGCCAUUUGGUAUGAAUAACAUCAAGAUAAGAAGUCUGCUCAAGAAAGUGGCGCCAACGUUUCAUAGCCUAAGGCGGUCCACAGGCAAAAGUGGACGAGGUCGCAAGCAAUAAGAAGGCCGAGACGGAGAAGAUGGCACAUCAGUAGAUGCAUCCACAACACAUGAACGACGUGUUUAAAAGUGAGGCAAAUGUGGAAGAAUACGAGCAAUAAUCCCCGAGAUAAGCUCAGGUUAUGGAGACAAGGAAGUCACCGGUGAUGAAGGUUUAGAAUCCCGUGAUAAGCGAAGUGAGGAAAUCAUAGGAGAUGAUGGUGCUGAAUCUGUAAUAAUUGGAGAAGCAGGAGCAGUACGAGGAAUGGAAUAGGGCUCAACGAUAGUGAUAAGAAUGUCGGGAAAAGUGAGGUAACACAUCCUCCACUAAAAAGGUCGGGGAUGAUGGUCACACGUAGCAGGGACGAGACUCACUAAAAGUCAUACCGUGAGAAAUAGUCACCCGAUGACCAACCUGAUCCCAACAACAAUAUCUCUUAUGCUCAUUGUUGUAUCCUAUGAACACUCAACAUACUAAGUAGUAAGUUUGGUACAUUGACGAGAGGCAGUAAGGGCACAUCAAACACAACCAAACAAUUGAAGCGCUGAAUAAUCUGGAAACGAUCAAAUAGACUCUUGAAAGGAGAUGACCAUGGUGGAAGUGGAGACGCAUUCAACCCAAAG
Molecule: long non-coding RNA, 4439 nt
Filed under: Hordeum vulgare
Lineage: Eukaryota; Viridiplantae; Streptophyta; Magnoliopsida; Poales; Poaceae
Description: long non-coding RNA (HVUL_LNC007059)
Source: RNAcentral